Equus caballus (horse) is the source of this 2698-nucleotide long non-coding RNA. NCBI's taxonomy places the organism in Eukaryota, Metazoa, Chordata, Mammalia, Perissodactyla, Equidae. The record is from Ensembl.
CUCGCACAUCUUUUGUGUUGUGUUUGGAUGUCCUCUGUUGGAGUGUGAAUGUCUUUUUCAUUGUAUGGUGGAAGAGAGAUUCUGAUAAAAUAUUUUGAACAGAAGGAUGAGAUUUCUACAUGCCCCCUGCAAAUCAGUUCUCAGAGUCGGACCAGGACGUACACACUGGGCCCUGGUUCUCAGGCCUUCAGACUCAGACUGAACCACACCAGCAGCUCUCCUGGGUCUCCAGCUUGCAGACAGCAGAAGGCAGGACUUCUAAGCCUCCAUAACCAUACUCUCUCGUAGGAAGAAACAGCAGAGACGCUUCUGCUGCGAGGUCAGCAGAAGGAGGAAGAGUUUCCUGUAAGGACGCCCAGCACUAAGGAACACAGGGACCCAUGACACUCCUCGGAAGGGAAGCCAAGAACGAGCUCACGGAGCGAGCGGGACGCUCCGGGGAGGCUGGCGGCGGAGCUCGAGGUCUCCCGGUCAACAUUACAUGGUCAUCAGAAGUGGGAUCCAGAGAAAACCCCCAACAACUCUGAGGCUGGUGAGCAAAUAGGUACUAGUACCCACAGAGCCAUUGAGCUUUCUGCUUUCUUGCCGACCCUGGAGUUUGGGUGACAAGGUCCGCUUCUGCUGUUGGUCCCCUCCUGAUGAGAGGCUGUAAGAGGUUUUUCCCUAGUUUUCUGUUAUAUCAAAAUUAUUUCCUGUGCUUUAUUUUAAAGAUUUUAUUUUUUCCUUUUUCUCCCCAAAGCCCCCCUGUACACAGUUGUAUAUUCUUCAUUGUGGGUCCUUCUAGUUGUGGCAUGUGGGACGCUGCCUCAGUGUGGUCUGAUGAGCAGUGCCAUGUCCAUGCCCAGGAUUCGAACCAACGAAACACUGGGCUGCCUGCAGCGGAGCGCGCGAACUUAACCGCUCAGCCACGGGGCCAGCCCCUCCUGUGCUUUAUUUUAAAGGCUGAGUCUUUUCUAUUAAAAAGUGCUAAGGUUUUGCAGCUAUGUAACCUUCUAUAUUUGUCUUUGAAAUCCUUUUGUUACUGGUUAAAUGGAUAAUUAAAUAUUGUUUCAUAAUUUUCUGUGAUCCUAUUUGGUCUUAUGUCCAAAGCCUUUUGACAUUUUUGACAAACUUCCCAAAAAUCAAAUUCUAAAUAAAGUCUUUUUGACCUGAAAAUAACUUUGGGAAUUUCCAGACGGUGCCUGGGACUUCUCAAAGGAUUUGUUCUCUCUUCCUAUAAAAAGGGAAAUGUUGAACUAAUUGGACUUAUUUGAUAUGUCAAAUUACAUGGAAAGCAUCAUCAAAUAAAUGAUGAUAAACCUUCUUACGUUAUAUUAUAUAGGUGAAUGUUGUUAAAAUAAAUGUUCUAGAGAUUGUAUGAAAAUUCCUAAAAUUCUGAUAUUUCCUGGUAUAAUGUUAUUAGUCAUAGUUUUAGAAUGUAUGUCACAGAAGUGACCAAAUUUACUUGUUGAUUAUGUUAUAAUGAACUUUCACCAGAUCUUUAACCAUUGCUAUUUUUAAUUUUUUGUCAUUUACAGAGUUAUUAUUUUACUCUGGUGCUUUUACAAAUAUGUUUUAUCUGCAGAGAAAUUCAUUGAAAAAUACUCUAGAAUGCAGGUGUUUGAUAACUUUAAGAUCAUCACACUGAGCUGCAUUUAAAGGACCUUCUUUUCUCCUCUAUGAGAAAAUGUAUAUUUGCAACAAAGGUUAAAACAUUUGUCUUUGUCUCCCUACCUGAUCUUUCCAGAAUUCAGAAACUCUUAAGUAUUCCUUUCAUGACAAUAUAUGUAUUUCCAUAAAUUCAAUGAGAAUCUGUUCUUCUUAGAGCAGGACACAAUUGGAAGGAUUAGCUAUAUUAUCAAGCAUUUGACCAGGAUGUCAUAUUCGAAAGAGAUAUAUACAGACUCAGAUAUUUACUAUGAUUAUCUUUGAUAAAAAUGGGAGUAAUCAUGGAGUGACAUAAGCAUCAUGGUGGAGUGAACUUUCCCAGUAAUCUUCCCCCUCUGACAUACAAUGAAAAAACAAACUCCAACAAAGGACAUCCAAACACAAGACAGAUUUAAUGUCAGAGAGAGACGUGCAGCCAUACAACAGAGGGCAGAGAGGCUGGAGCCCCCCUCAGAAGAGGUGGAACAGGGUGAGAGAAAACUUCACUCCCCACCCAAAAACAUCCAUACUCCUGACUGUUGAUCAACAAUGCUUUUGAAGAAAGAUCUUGAUGAAAAAGGGAAAAUGUGAAAGACAAUAAAGGAAAACUCAUUUAAAAUGAAGUCAGAAGUCCAGAAGGGAGAGCCCUCGCACACUACUACUCCACAUCAAUUACAGACCCCAACAGGAAGAAUCAUCAGUUUAACUACCCUCAGCAGAAGGAAGAUUUCCUCCUUGCCCAGCAACUCAGCCAAUGAGAAAUCAUCACCACCCUGAACUCUCACUUUCCAACAAUGGAUUUUCAUUCAAAACAACCCCUCCCAACUUCCUCCUUUUUCUCCAUAAAGUAACGUUCUUCUCGUUUGUUUGCUGGACUUGCGUAUGGCUUUUGCUAUAGCUUGCUUGUCCUGAAUUGCAAUUCCUCUCCUAUUCCAAAAUAAACCCAUUUUGAUGGUAAAAUAACUAGCUGUUUUGUUUAAGUCCACAGUCUCAGGUCUUGUGCUUAUUAUAGAUUUUUUGCCUUGGAUUCUUUAACUGGAAGCAAAAGUCAGCUUUAUUUAAAAGGAAAAAU